GAUGAACGCUGGCGGCGUGCCUAAUACAUGCAAGUCGAGCGAACAGACGAGGAGCUUGCUCCUCUGACGUUAGCGGCGGACGGGUGAGUAACACGUGGAUAACCUACCUAUAAGACUGGGAUAACUUCGGGAAACCGGAGCUAAUACCGGAUAAUAUAUUGAACCGCAUGGUUCAAUAGUGAAAGACGGUUUUGCUGUCACUUAUAGAUGGAUCCGCGCCGCAUUAGCUAGUUGGUAAGGUAACGGCUUACCAAGGCAACGAUGCGUAGCCGACCUGAGAGGGUGAUCGGCCACACUGGAACUGAGACACGGUCAAGACUCCUACGGGAGGCAGCAGUAGGGAAUGUGACGCAAUGGGCGAAAGCUUGACGGAGCAACGCCGCGUGAGUGAUGAAGGUCUUCGGAUCGUAAAACUCUGUUAUUAGGGAAGAACAAAUGUGUAAGUAACUAUGCACGUCUUGACGGUACCUAAUCAGAAAGCCACGGCUAACUACGUG
Molecule: ribosomal RNA, 497 nt
Filed under: uncultured bacterium
Lineage: Bacteria
Description: partial 16S ribosomal RNA
Rfam family: Bacterial small subunit ribosomal RNA
Source: RNAcentral